This 445-nucleotide ribosomal RNA is filed under the name uncultured rumen bacterium. RNAcentral's name for it is "bacterial SSU rRNA". It matches the Rfam family "Bacterial small subunit ribosomal RNA", at positions 217 to 662 of the family's 1533-position model. The record is from RNAcentral.
GGUAUGGGAUGAGCUUGCGUCCGAUUAGCUAGUUGGCGGGGCAACGGCCCACCAAGGCGACGAUCGGUAGCCGGCCUGAGAGGGUGAUCGGCCACAUUGGGACUGAGAUACGGCCCAGACUCCUACGGGAGGCAGCAGUAGGGAAUAUUGCACAAUGGGGGAAACCCUGAUGCAGCAACGCCACGUGUGGGAAGAAGCAUUUCGGUGUGUAAACCACUGUCGUGAGGGAAUAAGGCUAUUUUUCGGAAUAGUUGAAUGUACCUCGAAAGGAAGCACCGGCAAACUUCGUGCCAGCAGCCGCGGUAAUACGAGGGGUGCAAGCGUUGUUCGGAAUCACUGGGCGUAAAGGGAGCGUAGGCGGAGAUGCAAGCAGUCUGUACAAUACCGGGGCCCAACCCCGGACCUGCAGACUGGACUGUGUCUCUUGGAUAGUUCAGGGGCAGGC